RNAcentral lists this ribosomal RNA (253 nucleotides) under uncultured microorganism. RNAcentral's name for it is "partial 16S ribosomal RNA". It matches the Rfam family "Bacterial small subunit ribosomal RNA", at positions 524 to 776 of the family's 1533-position model. The record is from RNAcentral.
UACGGAGGGUGCGAGCGUUAAUCAGAAUUACUGGGCGUAAAGCGUGCGCAGGCGGUUUGUUAAGCGAGAUGUGAAAGCCCCGGGCUCAACCUGGGAACCGCAUUUCGAACUGGCAAACUAGAGUCUUGUAGAGGGGGGUAGAAUUCCAGGUGUAGCGGUGAAAUGCGUAGAGAUCUGGAGGAAUACCGGUGGCGAAGGCGGCCCCCUGGACAAAGACUGACGCUCAGGCACGAAAGCGUGGGGAGCAAACAGG